AUUGAACGCUGGCGGCAGGCCUAACACAUGCCAGUCGAGCGGAUGAAGGGAGCUUGCUCCUGGAUUCAGCGGCGGACGGGUGAGUAAUGCCUAGGAAUCUGCCUGGUAGUGGGGGAUAACGUCCGGAAACGGGCGCUAAUACCGCAUACGUCCUGAGGGAGAAAGUGGGGGAUCUUCGGACCUCACGCUAUCAGAUGAGCCUAGGUCGGAUUAGCUAGUUGGUGGGGUAAAGGCCUACCAAGGCGACGAUCCGUAACUGGUCUGAGAGGAUGAUCAGUCACACUGGAACUGAGACACGGUCCAGACUCCUACGGGAGGCAGCAGUGGGGAAUAUUGGACAAUGGGCGAAAGCCUGAUCCAGCCAUGCCGCGUGUGUGAAGAAGGUCUUCGGAUUGUAAAGCACUUUAAGUUGGGAGGAAGGGCAGCAAGUUAAUACCUUGCUGUUUUGACGUUACCAACAGAAUAAGCACCGGCUAACCUCGUG
This 484-nucleotide ribosomal RNA is filed under the name uncultured bacterium. RNAcentral describes it as "partial 16S ribosomal RNA". It matches the Rfam family "Bacterial small subunit ribosomal RNA", at positions 30 to 507 of the family's 1533-position model. The record is from RNAcentral.